CCUACGGGAGGCUGCAGUCGAGAAUCAUUCACAAUGGGGGAAACCCUGAUGGUGCGACGCCGCGUGGGGGAAUGAAGGUCUUCGGAUUGUAAACCCCUGUCAUGUGGGAGCAAAUUAAAAAGAUAGUACCACAAGAGGAAGAGACGGCUAACUCUGUGCCAGCAGCCGCGGUAAUACAGAGGUCUCAAGCGUUGUUCGGAAUCACUGGGGGUAAAGCGUGCGUAGGCUGUUUCGUAAGUCGUGUGUGAAAGGCGCGGGCUCAACCCGCGGACGGCACAUGAUACUGCGAGACUAGAGUAGUGGAGAGGGAACCGGAAUGCUCGGUGUAGCAGUGAAAUGCAUAGAUAUCGAGAAGAACACUCAUGGCGAAGGCAGGUUCCUGGACAUUAACUGACGCUGAGGCACGAAGGCCAGGGGAGCGAAAGGGAUUAGAUACCCUUGUAGUC
Molecule: ribosomal RNA, 446 nt
Filed under: uncultured bacterium
Lineage: Bacteria
Description: partial 16S ribosomal RNA
Rfam family: Bacterial small subunit ribosomal RNA
Source: RNAcentral